This 302-nucleotide ribosomal RNA is filed under the name uncultured bacterium. RNAcentral's name for it is "partial 16S ribosomal RNA". It matches the Rfam family "Bacterial small subunit ribosomal RNA", at positions 508 to 808 of the family's 1533-position model. The record is from RNAcentral.
GCAGUAGCCACGGUAAUACGUAGGUCCCGAGCGUUGUCCGGAUUUAUUGGGCGUAAAGCGAGCGCAGGCGGUUAGAUAAGUCUGAAGUUAAAGGCAUCGGCUCAACCAAUGUAUGCUUUGGAAACUGUUAGACUUGAGUGCAGAAGGGGAGAGUGGAAUUCCAUGUGUAGCGGUGAAAUGCGUAGAUAUAUGGAGGAACACCGGUGGCGAAAGCGGCUCUCUGGUCUGUCACUGACGCCGAGGCUCGAAAGCGUGGGUAGCGAACAGGAUUAGAUACCCCUGUAGUCCCUGUCUCUUAUACC